RNAcentral lists this transfer RNA (77 nucleotides) under Clostridium pascui. RNAcentral describes it as "tRNA-Arg". It matches the Rfam family "tRNA". Rfam says of the family: Transfer RNA (tRNA) molecules are approximately 80 nucleotides in length. RNAcentral also lists the same sequence under 1 other name. The record is from RNAcentral. Lineage: Bacteria; Bacillati; Bacillota; Clostridia; Eubacteriales; Clostridiaceae.
GCGCUCGUAGCUCAGUAGGAUAGAGCGUCCCCCUCCUAAGGGGAAGGCCGGGGGUUCGAUUCCUCUCGGGCGCACCA